UUUUUCUUUCGGUUUCUCUUCUCCCCUCUCUCUCUUACUUUCUCUCUCUCCCUCUCUCCUCCUUCCUCUCCCUGUCUCGCCAAAACCCCAAGACUGCGGCAAGGGAUCGCCGGCGAACAAAAGUGGCCGGCGGUCAGACCCCCGACGAAACUAGGAGAAGGUGAGAUGUGAGAGACGGAGGAAUUAUUGGCAUAGGUUGCUAGGGAUUUCGUAGGGUUGAUUUCAUGGAUUAACAAAAGAUGAACACGUCAUUUAUAGGACUCUCUAAGAACUCUAAACGAGACAGCUCAAGCUGUAUUUCAACACGCGUUAAUCAAGCGUUAAAGAUUCAAGUUCAUUUGCGUGGAUUUACCUAGAAUUGAGUCAUCGAGGACGCAACCUUAUCAGGGGUCGAUUCAGCCGCAGAGGACGAUGCACUUUAUUUCACCCAGAUGUUAGAUUCCCUGCACGGAGGGCAUCACGAUAUUUAUGAAAGAGCCAUGGGCAUUGGUAGCACUCGGACUUACUUGAGGGUGUCCUCCAUACCAAAAAUCGGCACUUCCAAUCAGGAGCUACGUCGCGAGGUUGCUGAUCUUAGAGCUCAGGUAGCUGAGAUGGAUAGUCUCAGGAAGGAGCUUAGGUCUCGGAUGCAUUGGAUUAAUAACAAUAUGGUUAAUUCUCAGGGCGCUCGUCUUGCUCCCACUGCUAAUGACUCACCAGCUUUUACCCGUCCUUCUCCAAUUCCUCAGCCUGCUGCCGAUAUACCACAUUCUACUCGUCCUACUUCGAAUGCUAACACUUCUACUUCUAGUGUACAAGGUUUGUCACAGGAGAAUCUUACUAGGACAUUUGCAGACUUGAGGCAUUCGGGCUUGUCCCAGGAGGACAUUCUUCAAGGAAUUUCUUCUCUUCCUUGAUUGGAUGGAUCAAGCCACUCCUAUCUUAUAUUUUGGACGUAUGAGUCAUUUUGGAUAUUGGAGACAUAUAUAAUAUUGGAUGUUUUUUAUUGUGAGAUAUUGAGUAAUCAUUGCGUAAUACAUGUUUUGUCUCUAAUAUUAAGUUGAGUAAUCAUUGUGUAUGUAUAUAUAAUAUUGGAUAUAUAGCACUGUUUGAGA
This is an RNA transcript of Asparagus officinalis (garden asparagus), 1094 nucleotides long. RefSeq lists it as uncharacterized. The record is from RefSeq and is a predicted model, not a curated record. The transcript is spliced from 5 exons. Lineage: Eukaryota; Viridiplantae; Streptophyta; Magnoliopsida; Asparagales; Asparagaceae.